This 1156-nucleotide long non-coding RNA is filed under the name Strigops habroptila (Kakapo). RNAcentral's name for it is "lncRNA (ENSSHBG00005008144.1)". The record is from RNAcentral. Lineage: Eukaryota; Metazoa; Chordata; Aves; Psittaciformes; Psittacidae.
UUUUUUCAUUUACAAUCAUUUUCCUAUACCUUCCUGACACCUGUUUACAAUAAUAAUUUUGAACAUCUGAUUGAAGCAAACAGAAUUGCCAAGGUACACUAGCUACACAAAGUACUUUUUUUUUUUAUUUGAUUUAUUUUUUUGUGAAGGAAGAUCCCCUAUCAUGACUUUAGGCAUUUUCUCUCUAUAGAAAAGACAAAACACUGCUCUAGGAAUUGACCAUAUAUCACUGAAGGAAAUGAAACUCCUAUGAAAUAUUUCAUUAUGCUGGAGCUUUUUCAUGGACACUAAUGUGAACAUAAAUAAAAGCCGAUGACUUCAAGGAUAUCUGAAUUUCAAAGUUAUUUAGGAAAUACUCUAACAAAAAAAAGUAUAAAAUAGCUCCAGUCUUUUGUAAAUUAAUGUUUUUUCCUUUUUUCCUGGAAUUCCAAUGUUAAGUACUUUUUACCUUCCACACUUUAUAGAUGUUUACCUUCCACACUUUAUAUCCUGUAUAAUAAGGAAAUGGCUAACGAAUCAAAAUAAACAUUAUUCAGUGUAAGUACAUCAUUAUUCAACACAAUCUGAGCAAAGUGUUAAGAAGUUUUAACAAUGCCACUACUUAAUUAUGUGUAUAAUGCUACUGCCCUCAUUAUUGUGGAUUAAAUUCAUGCUGAUUCUUCUUAAUGUACUCGUUUUGAGAACACUUCCUGCCGAUAUUCAACAUGAUCUUCACAGCUUUUCUUGAUCUAAAGCCCUCUUUAAGAUCUCUGAACCAGACUGAUUUUUUUUUAUUAUUAUUAUUCUUUUUCCUACACCCAGCAGUGUAACUACAAAGUUAGCAUAGGAGAAGAAUGCAUUUUUAAAACCUUUAAAAAGCCAUGUGUCUUUGCAACUGAUUUUGCAAGGAUAUAAAUGAGUGUUGAAUAUGUCUUUUAAAGUAAAACAAAACAAAAAAGGAAAUAGUACUGGAAGAACAGAGUGAACGUUAGGCACAGGCAAAGUCGGUGCCUGCUCAGACAGCAGAUGAGGAAUCAGCAAUAGCCGUGGUGCAAACAUCAUUUGUAUUUGCAGCAAAUCUUGGAAAAACAGGUCUGCAGCUGCUGCUGCCCCUGCAGAGGCUGGGGUGAGGGCUGGGCUGUGUCCUAGGGCACCUACACCCAGCAGCUUUCAAGCC